GAGGCUCAAGUUGAGUUU
RNAcentral lists this small nuclear RNA (18 nucleotides) under Arabidopsis thaliana (thale cress). RNAcentral describes it as "snRNA_05749". The record is from RNAcentral. Lineage: Eukaryota; Viridiplantae; Streptophyta; Magnoliopsida; Brassicales; Brassicaceae.